RNAcentral lists this ribosomal RNA (497 nucleotides) under uncultured bacterium. RNAcentral's name for it is "partial 16S ribosomal RNA". It matches the Rfam family "Bacterial small subunit ribosomal RNA", at positions 28 to 507 of the family's 1533-position model. The record is from RNAcentral.
GACGAACGCUGGCGGCGUGCUUAAUACAUGCAAGUCGAACGAACAGACGCCAAGUUUGUGGCUUUCUCGAUAGCCGAAGGCGGGAGUAACACGCGUGGAAACCCUACUUCUCUGACUGAGAUAACUUCGGGAAUCCGGCUCUUACACGGGAUGAUAUAUCUCACCGCAGGGUUCAGUGGUAAAAGACUGUUUUGAGGACACGUAUAGAUGCUUUCGGGCCGCUUUAGCGAGUUGGUCAUGUAACGGCUUACCAAGGCAACGAUGCGUAGCCGACCGGAGAGGGUGAUCGGCCACACUGGAACUGAGACAGGGUCCAGAGUCCUACGGGAGGCAGCAGUAGGGAAUCUGCCGCAAUGGGCGGAAGCCUUACGGAGCAGCGCCGCGUGAGUGAUGAAGGUCUUCGGAUCGUAAAACUCUGUUAUUAGGGAAGAACAAAUGUGUAAGUAACUAUGCACGUCUUGACGGUACCUAAUCAGAAAGCCACGGCUAACUACGUG